RNAcentral lists this ribosomal RNA (872 nucleotides) under marine metagenome. RNAcentral describes it as "bacterial SSU rRNA". It matches the Rfam family "Bacterial small subunit ribosomal RNA", at positions 484 to 1357 of the family's 1533-position model. The record is from RNAcentral.
UAAGAAGGUCCGGCUAACUUCGUGCCAGCAGCCGCGGUAAUACGAAGGGACCUAGCGUAGUUCGGAAUUACUGGGCUUAAAGAGUUCGUAGGUGGUUAAAAAAGUUGGUGGUGAAAUCCCAGAGCUUAACUCUGGAACUGCCAUCAAAACUUUUUAGCUAGAGUGUGAUAGAGGAAAGCAGAAUUUCUAGUGUAGAGGUGAAAUUCGUAGAUAUUAGAAAGAAUACCGAUUGCGAAGGCAGCUUUCUGGAUCAUUACUGACACUGAGGAACGAAAGCAUGGGUAGCGAAGAGGAUUAGAUACCCUCGUAGUCCAUGCCGUAAACGAUGUGUGUUAGAUGUUGGAAAUUUAUUUUCAGUAUCGCAGCGAAAGCGUUAAACACACCGCCUGGGGAGUACGACCGCAAGGUUAAAACUCAAAUGAAUUGACGGGGACCCGCACAAGUAGUGGAGCAUGUGGUUUAAUUCGAAGAUACGCGCAGAACCUUACCAACACUUGACAUGUUUGUCGCGACUUUAAGAGAUUAAAGUCUUCGGUUCGGCCGGACAAAACACAGGUGCUGCAUGGCUGUCGUCAGCUCGUGUCGUGAGAUGUUGGGUUAAGUCCCGCAACGAGCGCAACCCUCACUUUUAGUUGCCAUCAUUUAGUUGGGCACUCUGAAAGAACUGCCAGUGAUAAGCUGGAGGAAGGUGGGGAUGACGUCAAGUCCUCAUGGCCCUUACGUGUUGGGCUACACACGUGCUACAAUGGCAUUUACAAUAGGAAGCAAGACGGCGACGUCAAGCAAAUCCUAAAAAAAUGCCUCAGUUCGGAUUGUACUCUGCAACUCGAGUACAUGAAGCUGGAAUUACUAGUAAUCGCGGAUCAGCGCGC